Long non-coding RNA from Mytilus californianus (California mussel), 359 nucleotides. RefSeq lists it as uncharacterized. The transcript has 3 exons. The record is from RefSeq and is a predicted model, not a curated record. NCBI's taxonomy places the organism in Eukaryota, Metazoa, Mollusca, Bivalvia, Mytilida, Mytilidae.
GCCUCAAGGAACAUGUAAAAUAGGACCAUUUCCCAGUACACCGUGCCCAUCGGGAACGUACUGUAAAAAUUCUGUCUGCUGUAAAAUACCUUGUGAUUAUGGUGAUCCUCAUCCAACACGUUUUUGUGGAAUGGUUGUCAGUUCCAACAAGUGUCCUACUGGAUACCAUUGUAAAGGUGGGCCGGCUGAUGAAUACCAUGCUUGUUGUCCGAACGCCAAAACAACGAAAAUAGGCCUAUGCCCAAGGGACAAAUACCCACAGACUAAGUGUUACGUUCAAAGAAACUGCAAAAAUGACGCAUCGUGACCUGGAACAAAGAAAUGUUGCAAGCAAGGUUGUCGUUAUAAAUGUGUAUAUC